This 1141-nucleotide long non-coding RNA is filed under the name Salmo salar (Atlantic salmon). RNAcentral describes it as "lncRNA (ENSSSAG00000097572.1)". The record is from RNAcentral. Lineage: Eukaryota; Metazoa; Chordata; Actinopteri; Salmoniformes; Salmonidae.
GCAGCCAUGCCAUAUAUAGUGCAUCCAGCAGCCAUGCCAUAUAUAGUGUAUCCAGCAGCCAUGCCAUAUAUAGUGCAUCCAGUAGCCAUGCCAUAUAUAGUGCAUCCAGCAGCCAUGCCAUAUAUAGUGUAGAGGCCAUGCUAUAUAUAGUGUAUCCAGUAGCCAUGCUAUAUAUAGUGUAUCUAGCAGCCAUGCCAUAUAUAGUGUAUCUAGUAGCCAUGCUAUAUAUAGUGUAGAGGCCAUGCUAUAUAUAGUGUAUCCAGUAGCCAUGCCAUAUAUAGUGUAUCUAGCAGCCAUGCUAUAUAUAGUGCAGAGGCCAUGCCAUAUAUAGUGUAUCCAGUAGCCAUGCCAUAUAUAGUGUAUCCAGUAGCCAUGCCAUAUAUAGUGUAUCCAGUAGCCAUGCUAUAUAUAGUGUAGAGGCCAUGCUAUAUAUAGUGUAUCCAGUAGCCAUGCCAUAUAUAGUGUAGAGGCCAUGCCAUAUAUAGUGUAUCCAGCAGCCAUGCUAUAUAUAGUGUAGAGGCCAUGCCAUAUAUAGUGUAUCUAGUAGCCAUGCUAUAUAUAGUGUAUCCAGUAGCCAUGCCAUAUAUAGUGUAUCUAGUAGCCAUGCCAUAUAUAGUGUAGAGGCCAUGCCAUAUAUAGUGUAUCCAGUAGCCAUGCUAUAUAUAGUGCAUCCAGUAGCCAUGCUAUAUAUAGUGUAUCCAGUAGCCAUGCCAUAUAUAGUGUAUCCAGUAGCCAUGCCAUAUAUAGUGUAUCCAGUAGCCAUGCUAUAUAUAGUGUAGAGGCCAUGCCAUAUAUAGUGUAUCUAGUAGCCAUGCUAUAUAUAGUGUAGAGGCCAUGCUAUAUAUAGUGUAUCUAGUAGCCAUGCUAUAUAUAGUGUAGUAGCCCAUGCUAUAUAUAGUGUAUCCAGUAGCCAUGCUAUAUAUAGUGUAUCCAGCAGCCAUGCCAUAUAUAGUGCAUCUAGCAGCCAUGCUCAUAUAUAGUGUAUCUAGCAGCCAUGCUAUAUAUAGUGCAGAGGCCAUGCUAUAUAUAGUGUAUCUAGUAGCCAUGCCAUAUAUAGUGUAUCUAGUAGCCAUGCCAUAUAUAGUGUAUCUAGUAGCCAUGCCAUAUAUAGUGUAGAGGCCAUGCCAUAUAUAGUGUAUCC